Molecule: ribosomal RNA, 253 nt
Filed under: uncultured bacterium
Lineage: Bacteria
Description: partial 16S ribosomal RNA
Rfam family: Bacterial small subunit ribosomal RNA
Source: RNAcentral
UACGAAGGGGGCUAGCGUUGCUCGGAAUGACUGGGCGUAAAGGGCGCGUAGGCGGGAUGGCAAGUCGGUCGUGAAAUCCUUCGGCUCAACCGAAGAACGUCGAUCGAUACUGCUGUUCUUGAGGGUUGCAGAGGAGACUGGAAUUCCCGGUGUAGCGGUGAAAUGUGUAGAGAUCGGGAGGAACACCGGUGGCGAAGGCGGGUCUCUGGGCAAUUCCUGACGCUGAGGCGCGAAAGCGUGGGGAGCAAACGGG